AAUGCGGCGUGUCCCUAAGGCUUCAUCGUGCCCUCCCCUCCUCCCCCCAUUUCUCCAUCUUCCUCGUUUCGGCAUUAGUGUGUGGCGGUUACCGCUGUCGUGAGCUCACGCUAUCCUGGUCUGUCAUCUUGUGUCGUUUGCCUGAUCGCUUGUUUCCUCUGCGCGUGUCGGUGUGUAACUCCCUACAUUGCGCAGCCGGUGUGGUGGCCGAACUGUUUUUUUCUUCAGCGUGGUAGUGAGUGGCAUUGCUUCAGUUGUCAUCCUUCGUGACCCUGCCCCUCCCCCCCACCACCACCACCACCAGAGCACCCCAUCUAGCUGUUCUUUGGGUACGUUUGUGGGUGGGCGGUUGCGCCAAUAGACGUCCACACGCACGGACACCGCGGUAUACUUGUCUUUUGCCUGCCUCCAUCUUAUACACGCAUCGGGCCCGCUCAUCUCUGCGCUCAGCUCGCUGCUGCCGGUGUGGCACCGCCGCCAUCGUCGCCACCAUGCCUCUGUACAGCAUCACGAUAUGCCCAUUGAAGCUCACUGCAUACUUCUGCCGCCAGGGCUCCGUGUAUGUGGUGGUGAUGUCGCGCAAAGGGCUUGAGAUCGCCACGAACCCGUCGAUGUGCAACAGCAGCAACGAGGUCAUCUUCUCCGACGCCGACGGCCUCAGCAGCGCGAAGCCGUUUGAGCUGUCCUUCAACUCACCAAAAGACCGGCGAAUACUGAACUUUGGCAUUUACGACUUCACCAACCGCAAGAACGCGGCCAAGCUCACGGGGUUCGAGAUCCCGCUGGCGGGCAUGUGCAGCGUGCUUGCUGGUGAGUCCAUGUGUGAGAAGAAGGGUAUCUCGUUCCGCGUUUCCGGCCAGUCGGGGCGCCUCGACAUCAUCUUUCGCAUGCACCCCGUUGGCACACCGGUCCCGCCGUUGCGUGCGGCGCAGACAAACGAGUCCAUACCCGGAGUGGCAGCCGAUGCGCUGGGUGCCGCUUCCCAUCGCAGUGCGACGGCGGUCUCACUGGGGUCCGGUGGCGGCGGCGACGUCGGCGCUGGAUCGACCAGGCUCACCCGCCUGCCGGAGCAUACGCUGCAGGCCCUCAUACGUGAGGGAAUCAUCUCGAGCGACCUGGAGGGGGUGGAGAUGGACCUUGACCUGGCGAAUGAGAUCGCCGUGCGCACCUCCGUCCUCUUCCCCAGCCGCACCGACCUCGAGGACCAGAUCCGCACGCUAACGCGAGAGAUCCAGAAGCUAGAGUACGAUGCGCAGUACGCCGCGAAGGACAAGGUCGUCGCCGGCUCUGCUGCGUCCGCCGCGCUACGGAACGAGAUUAACUACUGGAAGGAGAAGGUGAAGGACAUCGACGACAAGUCCGCGCACGAUGCUGGCAUUGCGCAGAGGACCGAAGAGCCGGAGCCGCAGCCGGCCAUCUCGCAGGAAUACAUUGCUGGAAUCGAGGCGCAGCUGGCGGCGAAGCAACUCGAGAUGCGCAGCCUCGAAGCGCAGCAAAGUCACCGCGACGUCACGGAGGACGCGAUGAGGCUCUUGGACCAGAUCGAUCACUUGCAGACGAUGUUGGUGGAACUGAAGAGUGAGGGAGCCGCUCCAGCAACGCUGAAGACGAAGGAUUACGACAUUGCCGAGAACGGCGACCGCUGGGACAAGCUGGCCGCCAAGCUUUACGAUGCCGAGAGCAUGACGGAGCAACUCAAGCAGACGGUGAUGGCGCUGAACCGCGUGCAGUACGAGCCCUACCUUGCCGGCGUGGAGGCUGGGUUUAUGCACACUGUGCCAAAGGAGUUGGAGUUUGUGAUGCAAAACCAGCGCACGCCAGGCAACCUGCCGCCCCAGAUCAGCAACCCCACGUCAUUGGCGGCGGCCCCACCGACCGGCCAACUCGCUGGAGGCGACGCGACGGGAGACAUACUGGACGACUUGUUUGGCGCAACUCCGAUGCAGGCGCAGCCAGCUGCCGCGCCGGAAAAACCGGCCGCUUUUCCUUCCCAGUCCCUCUCAUGCACGGCGUACGAGCCUCCCAAGGCGGCGCAAGUCACGCCUGUUUGGGCACCAUCAGCUGGCAGUUCUGCACCCAGCUCGUCCCCUGCUCCACAGCCGUCGCAGUCGUUGCCUGCUACAUCCGGUGCCCCAGAAGCUUCGCUGCCGCCGGUUGCGGCAGCGGGCCCCGCGGAAGCCCACCCUGCGCCAAACUCUCUGACAACGCCGACAGUGAGCGCACCGCCAGCACCGCCCACGCCAGCUGCUCAGCUCGACCCCACGGCUGCGGCGCCUCAGUUGGAGGUGGCCGAGCCGAAUGUGUUGCCUGCGCACGUCUCGCCCAACCAGGGCUUCCCCGCCGGCACGCCGGUGCCGAAUGCGUCCUCUCUGGGCGCAGAGGGAGCAGUGCCCGAGACCCGUGUGACCCACCGAAGCUCUGGCAUGACAAGCGCAACUGCAUCUCCGAUGGCGGCACCAGCGAAUGUUGCACCGCCUUCACUGGAAGUGCCAAUGCAAACCCCACCGUCGAACUCACUAGCUGUCACUCAGAGCAGCCUUGAAACGCCAGCGGCGCCGCUUCUGCAACCACAGCCGCAAAACGCACCCCCAGCUCAGCAACAGCAGCCCCCGCAGCCAAGCUACGGUGCCACGAUUGCCGGGACGGCUUCCUACCAGGGGCAAGACGCCGGGCAGCGGUCAGGCUACCCACCCCAGCAGCAACCGCAGCAGCAGCAGCAGGGGCCACCAGUGCCGCCCUUCGAGCGCCGUCCACCGUCACUGGAGGAGAUCCCGUACACUGGCUUCUACGGCAUUCCACUCAUGGCCCGUGGCUGCCCUAUCGACAUCUAUCUUGACGGCAAGAACCCAACGCGUGGCACGGAGCUGACCUUCAUCAACAACGCCGACUAUCAAAUCAUGAUCGGCGGUGUGGAGCUGAAGCAGGAGGACAUCUUCUCCCCUGACCCGAAUAGCGCCAAGACGAUUCCGACACAACGGUGGCCGCAGCACAUCUGGGUGCCGGGCGGCGGCAGCCGGCAGAGUUGCACCAUCGCCCUUCACCCGUCCUUCCCCCGUGGGUCGUCCAUCAUGGCGCUCGUAAUUGUGUACGUCUUCAACGAAGGACACUACACUCCGUUCACAGCGCGCUUCACCAUCUAAUGCGCCGGGGCGCGCCCCGCUUCCCUCCCUGGAGAGUACGGUUGGGGGAAGAAGAAGGGGCGUGUGAGUACGUCGAUGGUGAUUGAUGAAGGCUGAGAUAUGCGUGUCGGUAUCUAAAGCAGCAGGCCGCCCCUUCCUCUCUCUCUAUGCCUGUGCGUGUAUGUGUGAGUGUGUGCGUGUGUGCAUCGAUGGGUGUUUGUGCGGGUGUGCCCUUUUCUCUUUCCGUGUUGACGAGCACUUUACUUUGGUUGGUGUGGCGGCCGAAGCGGGUGGAGGAUGUCCGUGUUAGUCUCGGUGUGCUCUUCCCUUGCGCCGUUCAUGUGUUCGUAUCGAGCGUUGUAGUUGCUCCCGCCUAUCAGCCGAUGGCGCCCCAUUUCAUUGACUUUAUUUAUUUUGUAUUUGCUUGACGGUGGCUCUGUCUGAGGCGUCUCCGCUUUCGCUUUUUUCUCUUUGAUGCCGCCGCCUCCGUGUACAUAUCUCCGUCAGUCGGUGCGUGCGUACGUGCGUGUUUGCAUAUGCAUGGGUGGGCGGGUCAGUGACUUGGUGUGGGCUCCGUAUUAUAGCGACUGUCCGCGGGAGUGGAUAGUGCAGGAGCUCACUAAUGAAACGAAACCGUCACUGGCGGUGGCCCCCCCCCCACACACACACACCACCCUCUCUCUCUCUCCUAUCGCGCUGCAUCUCUUCCUUUGAGUUCGAAUCGUUGAAGUUCGUCUGUCUCCCUCACACUCUCCCUCUCCCUCCGUGUUUGUGUUCGCUUCGUUUGGUUCCUCUUGUCAUUCGCGUUCUUGUUAGAGCGCGUGCAACGAUAUUCAUCGGCGUGUCGGGGGGUGCAGUGCGUGAGCGCGUGCGUCUGAGUGAGAACCACGGCGGCUAGCACAUGACUGUGUCUGGCAUUUAGCUCUUCCCUUCCUCUCUCUGUGGUCCCUGAUGACAUGCGACACCUCUCCGUGCGUGGCGUCAGGGCCCGGCGCGCCUGCUCUCGGUGGGGGGUGGGGGCCGUGGAGCCCCCGCCACCCCUCCCAAUGCCGAGCCACCCCUGGUGGUGACAGGGUCGCGUGCCCACGACACGGCGAGGUCAGUGGGAGUCAUCGCUGCUGAUGUCGGCGGUGAGGUCCCAGAUGGCGGUGCGUGGGAGAGACCCGCGACAGCGAGCACACGCUUGUGCCAUCCACGUUAUGUGCAGAGUGCCAGCGCCACCCCUAAAGGUGCACAGGGUGGCGGCCGGCAUGAUGGAAGGAGCGGCUGUUAGGCGGGUGGUGGGUAGGGUUGGAGGCAUGGGUCGUGCUCAACUGACCGGGUCAGCGCGUGGCUGUGGCGCUUGUGUCCAGGGCUGCUUCGCACCACGCGAUGUGGUGGUGGGGGGGAGGGCGAGUGGGGCGUUGAACUGAUGGUGCUCUAUGGCAGAGAAAUGGGCACACGGAGUAUGAAAACGUCUCUUGCUGUGUUCUUGGGCUUUUCCUUUUUAGUGCGUGGUUUCCUUUACCGUUUCCACUGGUCGUCUCCCAGCCACUCGAUUGCUUAUGAGGAAUGCGCACGUUGCUCCCGACCGGAUGGUACAGAGAGAGAGACACGGCUGUGUGUGUGUGUGUGUGUGUGUGCUGCAUGGUGCAUGAAACAAGGCGCAAAGAAGGGGUACUACUUCUGUAAGGUGCG
Molecule: unclassified non-coding RNA, 4796 nt
Filed under: Leishmania donovani
Lineage: Eukaryota; Euglenozoa; Kinetoplastea; Trypanosomatida; Trypanosomatidae
Description: gene:LdHU3.23.0850(CDS-product:hypothetical_prote in_conserved)
Source: RNAcentral